GACAGAGGGGGCAAGCGUUGUCCGGACUUACUGGGCGUACAGCGCGCGCAGGCGGCCGAGUAUGUGCCCGGUGACAUCCCGCCGCUCAACGGCGGGCGGCCCGGGUAGACAGCUGGGCUGGAGACAGGGAGAGGGACGUGGAAUGCCCGGUGGAGCGGUGAAAUGCGUAGAGAUCGGGCGGAACACCAGUGGGGAAGCCGGCGUCCUGGCCCUGGACUGACGCUGAGGCGCGAUAGCGUGGGGAGCAAACGGG
Molecule: ribosomal RNA, 253 nt
Filed under: uncultured bacterium
Lineage: Bacteria
Description: partial 16S ribosomal RNA
Rfam family: Bacterial small subunit ribosomal RNA
Source: RNAcentral